Molecule: ribosomal RNA, 532 nt
Filed under: uncultured Gammaproteobacteria bacterium
Lineage: Bacteria; Pseudomonadati; Pseudomonadota; Gammaproteobacteria
Description: bacterial SSU rRNA
Rfam family: Bacterial small subunit ribosomal RNA
Source: RNAcentral
UGGCUCAGAGUGAACGCUGGCGGCAGGCCUAACACAUGCAAGUCGAACGGCAGCACAGGGGGAGCUUGCUCCCUGGGUGGCGAGUGGCGGACGGGUGAGGAAUGCGUCGGAAUCUGCCUUUUCGUGGGGGAUAACGUAGGGAAACUUACGCUAAUACCGCAUGCGACCCUGCACCGGGAGGUGCUGGGUGAAAGCGGGGGACCUUCGGGCCUCGCGCGGAAAGAUGAGCCGACGCCGGAUUAGCUAGUUGGCGGGGUAACGGCCCACCAAGGCGACGAUCCGUAGCUGGUCUGAGAGGAUGAUCAGCCACACUGGAACUGAGACACGGUCCAGACUCCUACGGGAGGCAGCAGUGGGGAAUAUUGGACAAUGGGCGCAAGCCUGAUCCAGCCAUGCCGCGUGAGUGAAGAAGGCCUUCGGGUUGUAAAGCUCUUUUGUUGGGAAAGAAAAGCUUUCGGUUAAUAACCGGGAGUUCUGACGGUACCCAAAGAAUAAGCACCGGCUAACUUCGUGCCAGCCGCCGCGGUAAUAC